This 277-nucleotide long non-coding RNA is filed under the name Ananas comosus (pineapple). RNAcentral's name for it is "long non-coding RNA (ACOM_LNC001121)". The record is from RNAcentral. Lineage: Eukaryota; Viridiplantae; Streptophyta; Magnoliopsida; Poales; Bromeliaceae.
CAGAAUAAUAUGAAACUUUAAAUCUAGCCUCAUAAAAAUAAUUCUGGCUUAUCCUCCAGUUUUCAUAAUUUUCUGACACUCUACAUUUUCUGCUAAUUUAUCUGUCCCGUUUCCAACAAAAAAUUCUAAAUCUUCUGUUUUCAUUCUGAUUUCAGCACAAGUCAUUUCUGACUUAUGUUUUACUUUUCUAAAUCCAAUAAAAAUAGCUUCUCACACUAUUUUUAUUUAUUUUUAUUUUUAUACCAAAAUCUGGUAUGUUACAUUCAGAUCCACUUUA